This 438-nucleotide ribosomal RNA is filed under the name uncultured bacterium. RNAcentral describes it as "partial 16S ribosomal RNA". It matches the Rfam family "Bacterial small subunit ribosomal RNA", at positions 355 to 810 of the family's 1533-position model. The record is from RNAcentral.
UGGGGAAUAUUGGACAAUGGGGGCAACCCUGAUCCAGCAAUGCCGCGUGUGUGAAGAAGGUCUUCGGAUUGUAAAGCACUUUCGACGGGGACGAUGAUGACGGUACCCGUAGAAGAAGCCCCGGCUAACUUCGUGCCAGCAGCCGCGGUAAUACGAAGGGGGCUAGCGUUGCUCGGAAUGACUGGGCGUAAAGGGCGUGUAGGCGGUUUACACAGUCAGAUGUGAAAUCCCCGGGCUUAACCUGGGAGCUGCAUUUGAUACGUGUAGACUAGAGUGUGAGAGAGGGUUGUGGAAUUCCCAGUGUAGAGGUGAAAUUCGUAGAUAUUGGGAAGAACACCGGUGGCGAAGGCGGCAACCUGGCUCAUGACUGACGCUGAGGCGCGAAAGCGUGGGGAGCAAACAGGUUAGAUACCCUGGUAGUCCACGCCUGUAAACGAU